GCACCAUGAAGUAUCUCUCUAUUUUGAUGUUCCUUGUGAUGCUGAUUUCGGCUGUCACUGCGCAAGGCUGCAAAACAAGCAAUAUCCACUGCACUUACACUCAUGAGUGCUGCAGAGGAUUACGUUGUUGGAGGCGAUGCAUAUAAAUGGAGACAAAUCCAGAUGAAGGCGACGCGAAUCCCCGUUUCGGAAUGCGAUGCCGAACGGGGAUUCUGUCAUGCAGCAAAAACUUGCCGUUGAGAUACCUAGAAAUAGCAUUC
Diachasma alloeum is the source of this 260-nucleotide long non-coding RNA. RefSeq lists it as uncharacterized. The transcript has 3 exons. NCBI's taxonomy places the organism in Eukaryota, Metazoa, Arthropoda, Insecta, Hymenoptera, Braconidae. The record is from RefSeq and is a predicted model, not a curated record.